Molecule: ribosomal RNA, 441 nt
Filed under: uncultured Bacillota bacterium
Lineage: Bacteria; Bacillati; Bacillota
Description: bacterial SSU rRNA
Rfam family: Bacterial small subunit ribosomal RNA
Source: RNAcentral
GGACCCGCACAAGCAGUGGAGUAUGUGGAUUAAUUCGAGGCAACGCGAAGAACCUUACCAGGGCUUGACAUGGGGAUGACCGGCAUAGAGAUAUGCCUUCUCUUCGGAGCAUCCCACACAGGUGGUGCAUGGUUGUCGUCAGCUCGUGUCGUGAGAUGUUGGGUUAAGUCCCGCAACGAGCGCAACCCUUAUCGUUAGUUGAUACAUUUAGGUGAUCACUCUAGCGAGACUGCCGUUGACAAAACGGAGGAAGGUGGGGACGACGUCAAAUCAUCAUGCCCUUUAUGUCCUGGGCUUCACACGUACUACAAUGGCAGUCAUACAGAGGGAAGCAAUAUGGUGACAUGGAGCAAAACCCUAAAAGCUGUCUCAGUUCAGAUUGCAGGCUGCAACUCGCCUGCAUGAAGUAGGAAUUGCUAGUAAUCGCGGAUCAGCAUGCCG